AGGCGUGCGGUGGGCGGGGCGCCGCGCUGACGUUGCCCGGGAUGCGGGCAGGUUCCGCCGCUGCCGCCGCCGCCGCCUCCGCCUCUCCUGCCACCGGGGUUUGUAUGAAAACACCGGGCGGUUGGCGGCGAGGGAUCCGCCGUGCGUCCAGAGAGCAAUCGCCGGCGCCAGCAGCGCCGAGCCGCGCCGGGUGCUGCGGCUCUGCCAGCCUCUGCCAGCACCCCAUCCUGAGCCGACUUUCUGCAAUGGUGAAAUGAAGUAACUCAAGAUGAGCAAAUUAAAAGUGAUAUCAGAGAAAAGCCUUACCAAUAAUUCUCGGAUUGUGGGACUCUUGGCUCAGCUGGAGAAGAUUAAUACUGAAUCUACAGAAUCAGAUAAUGCCAGAUAUGUCACAUCAAAAAUUCUUCAUCUGGCUCAAAGUCAAGAAAAAAUGAAGAGAGAAAUGACAGCCAAAGGUUCUACGGGAAUGGAAGUUCUAUUGUCAACAUUAGAGAACACGAAAGACCUUCAAACUACACUUAAUAUCUUAAGUAUUCUUGUUGAACUGGUGUCAGCAGGUGGAGGUCGAAGAGCCAGUUUCUUAGUAGCCAAAGGUGGUUCACAAAUAUUGCUACAGUUACUUACAAAUACCAGCAAAGAAGCUCCCCUAAAUGAGGAACUAAUGGUGCAGAUCCAUUCUAUUCUUGCAAAGAUUGGACCAAAAGACAAAAAAUUUGGAGUGAAAGCUAGAGUUAAUGGAGCUCUGAAUAUAACCUUGAGUUUGGUCAAGCAGAAUUUACAGAAUCUUCGUUUGGUUUUGCCUUGUCUUCAGCUUUUACGAGUUUAUUCUGCUAACUCUGUGAAUUCAGUAUCGUUAGGGAAAAAUGGAGUUGUGGAAUUGUUGUUUAAAGUCAUCGGGCCAUUCAGUAAGAAGAAUUCCAGUGUUAUGAAGGUUGCUUUAGACACUCUUGCUGCAUUGCUAAAAUCAAAAACAAAUGCCAGGAGAGCUGUAGACAGAGGAUAUGUUCAAGUACUCUUAACAAUUUAUGUAGAUUGGCACCGCCAUGAUAAUCGGCACAGAAACAUGCUCAUUCGGAAAGGCAUUUUACAGAGUUUAAAAAGCGUGACAAACAUCAAAUUGGGAAGAAAAGCAUUUAUUGAUGCCAAUGGGAUGAAAAUUCUCUAUAACACUUCACAAGAAUGUUUGGCGGUUAGGACCCUAGAUCCUCUUGUCAACACUUCCAGUCUGAUAAUGAGGAAAUGUUUUCCUAAAAAUCGUCUGCCACUCCCAACGAUUAAGAGCUCUUUCCAGUUCCAAUUGCCAGUUAUUCCGAUGACUGGACCUGUGGCCCAGCUCUAUAGCUUACCGCCAGAAGUGGAUGACGUAGUAGAUGAAAGUGAUGACAACGAUGAUGUUGAUUUGGAAGCUGAAAAUGAAACUGAAAAUGAAGAUGAUGAGCAAAAUUUUAAGAAUGAUGAUAUUGAAACAGAUAUUAACAAACUAAAGCCCCAGCAAGUACCUGGACGAACAAUAGAAGAACUUAAAAUGUAUGAACACCUUUUCCCUGAACUUGUUGAUGAUUUUCAGGAAUAUGAUUUGAUCUCCAAAGAACCAAAACCUUUUAUAUUUGAGGGAAAAGUACGCUGUCCCAUUGUUGUUCCUACAGCAGGAGAAGAAGCAUCUGCAAAUCCAGGCAGUUUAAGAAAAGGAGUUGUAACAAAGGCAAAUAUGUCUUCUAAAGGAGAUGAACAUGAUAAGAAAACUGCCUUUAUGGAACUGGCAAAAGAAGAUACUCCAGAUAAUAAUGAGAGGCUAUUACAGCAGCAGCUAGGUGAUCAAAAUAGAACUAUCUCAUCAGCUCAUGGCUUAAACAAUGAUAUUGUGAAGGCCUUGGACCGAAUUACACUGCAGAAUAUCCCUUCUCAAACAGCACUGGGCUGCACAGCAAGUAUGAAGAAGGACUACAGUCUCCCUCUCACUGUCCUUACAUGCACUAAGGCAUGUCCACAUAUGGCUGCUUGUGGAAGUGCUCUAUUUGAGGCAAGAACAGUUCAGUUAGGAAAGCUUUGCUGUACAGGAGUCGAAACUGAAGAUGAUGAAGAUACUGAGUCUACUUCGUCAGUGGAACAGACAUCAGUUGAGGUAUCUGAUGGACCAACACUCCAUGACUCGGAUCUCUAUAUUGAAAUUGUGAAGAAUACAAAGUCUGUCCCAGAAUAUUCAGAGGUGGCAUAUCCUGAUUAUUUUGGACACAUUCCACCUCCAUUCAAAGAGCCUAUUUUAGAAAGGCCUUAUGGCGUACAAAGGACAAAAAUUGCCCAGGAUAUUGAGAGACUAAUACAUCAGAGUGAUGUCAUAGAUCGAGUGGUAUAUGAUUUAGAUAACCCAAAUUAUGCUAUUCUAGAAGAAGGAGAUAUUUUGAAAUUUAACUCCAAAUUUGAAUCUGGGAACCUUCGGAAAGUAAUUCAAAUUAGAAAAAAUGAGUAUGAUCUUAUUCUGAACUCAGACAUAAAUAGCAACCAUUACCAUCAGUGGUUUUACUUUGAAGUCAGUGGAAUGCGACCAGGUGUUGCUUAUAGGUUUAACAUCAUUAACUGUGAGAAGUCCAACAGUCAAUUUAAUUAUGGUAUGCAGCCACUCAUGUAUUCAGUUCAAGAAGCAUUAAAUGCCAGACCAUGGUGGGUUCGGAUCGGGACUGACAUUUGUUACUACAAAAAUCACUUCUCAAGAAGUUCAGCUGCUGCAGGUGGACAAAAGGGAAAAUCUUACUAUACAAUUACAUUCACUGUCAAUUUUCCACACAAAGAUGAUGUUUGCUACUUUGCUUAUCAUUAUCCAUAUACAUACUCAACUUUACAGAUGCAUCUUCAAAAAUUGGAAUCAGCACAUAAUCCUCAGCAAAUUUAUUUUCGGAAAGAUGUGUUAUGUGAAACCCUGUCUGGAAACAGCUGUCCUUUGGUGACUAUAACAGCAAUGCCAGAAUCGAAUUAUUAUGAACAUAUUUGUCAAUUCAGAAACCGCCCUUAUAUUUUCUUAUCUGCUCGAGUACAUCCUGGAGAAACCAAUGCAAGUUGGGUAAUGAAAGGAACAUUGGAGUAUCUCAUGAGUAAUAACCCUACUGCUCAGAGUUUACGAGAAUCCUAUAUUUUUAAAAUUGUCCCCAUGUUAAAUCCAGAUGGAGUCAUCAAUGGAAAUCAUCGCUGUUCUUUAAGUGGAGAGGAUUUGAACAGACAGUGGCAAAGUCCAAAUCCAGACUUACAUCCCACAAUCUUCCAUGCAAAGGGGCUGCUACAAUACCUGGCUGCUGUGAAGCGUUUACCUCUGGUUUAUUGUGACUACCAUGGCCACUCCAGAAAGAAGAAUGUAUUUAUGUAUGGCUGCAGCAUCAAAGAGACAGUAUGGCACACCAAUGAUAAUGCAUCUUCAUGUGAUGUUGUGGAAGAUGUUGGAUACAGGACUUUGCCUAAAAUAUUGAGCAAUAUUGCCCCAGCAUUUUGUAUGAGCAGCUGUAGCUUUGUGGUGGAAAAAUCUAAAGAAUCCACAGCACGUGUAGUAGUUUGGCGGGAAAUAGGAGUGCAAAGAAGUUAUACCAUGGAGAGUACCUUGUGUGGCUGUGAUCAAGGAAAAUAUAAGGGUUUGCAGAUUGGCACUCGAGAAUUGGAAGAGAUGGGAGCAAAAUUUUGUGUUGGUCUCUUGCGUUUGAAAAGACUGACAUCCCCACUGGAGUAUAAUCUGCCUUCCAGCCUGCUUGACUUUGAAAAUGACUUGAUUGAAUCUAAUUGCAAAGUAACAAGGACACUUGGCAGCUCUGAACUCCAAUUUUUGCCUCCAGUUCUUUGACAUUGCUGAAAGCUCUGAUGACUUCUCUGCCUCUUAGCAGCUGCCCUUGCUUGGCCUUGGUUUCUUCUGGACUUGGCCCCAUGCACCUUUUCUCUUGGUUGAUUUUGCUUUAACUGAAUUUCAUAUUCAGUUGCAUGAAUUAUUUCACGUUAGCUGCCUAGUGAUGUCUCCUUGUUUGUUUAUUUAACAGAGUAUUGUUCCCUUUUUCUUAUCUGAUUUUUGGAGCUUUUUAUUGCAGCUACAGAAAAUCCUUUCUGGAAGCAGGUGGUAUAUAAAUAAACAUACAUAUAUAUGAAAUUAAGAUAUCCCUUGUUAUGGAAUAUACUUAUUGAAAUGUUCCUUGAUAUACAUAGAUGUGCUUGUGUGCUUUAAUAAAAUCUCUCAAAUGGAUGGAGAUCAGAAUAUGAUGAUUUGUUUUAAGAGUAUGUUGUAGACCCCUGUUGUAAGAGUCUUUGAAUCUUGAACAAUCUACCUAAUGAAAUAUUUAGAAGCACUUACUGUUUUUAGGCAAGUAGUUCAUUCUGUGUCCCAAGGGAAGAUAAUCUCUGUGUGGAGUGUUCAUUUAUUUAUUUUUAUUCUUGACUUACGGAAACUAAAAAUGGGUCUAUAGGCAGUUUUAUGGCAAGUAAUCACUUUAGAGACUUAGAACAAGUAGAUUCAUCAUUACAUUACUGCAGGAAACAAUGGAAUACCAUGUUUUUAAUAAAGGCAGUUAUUUGAUUUAAAGUAAUAAAGACUUUAAAGUCCUUUUCAAAAUACAUUUUUAUUGAAGUAUUAUUGGUUAAGAACAUUUAUAUCACUUUUUUUCCUUCUCUUUCUCCUCCUCCUUUUAUUUUUUUAUUUUUUUUUUUUACCAGAGCACUGCUCAGCUCUGGCUUCUUGUGGUGCGGGAAUUAAACCUGGGAAUUUGGAGCCUCAGGCAAGAAAGUCUCUUUGCAUAACCAUUAUGGUUAUCUAUCCCCGCUCUAUUUAUAUUACUUUUAGAUAUACAGCUGUAUAGUUGAUUUCUGUAUACAUUGUUAUCAAUACUGAAAGUCUAAUUUAUUCUGUCUAUAAUGAAAUAAGUCGUCGUAGCCUACAGAUUAGUGAAAUACGUCAAAGAAGUAGCCAAGCAAGAGUCCACUGUUCUUUGUAGCUAUGUAGUUGUAGGACAUAUAUUGAUACUUUUGUAAUAUGAUUAAAGCAGCAUUUCAUUUCAACACUUACUCCUAGGGCAAGGAAGUUUUGAUUAUUAAAAUCUCUUAUUUACUUGUGUAGCAUUUUUAAAGUUAACCCCAAAAUACUGAAAUCUAUAUCCAGCAUGGUGAAAUACUCUUAUAUUAGAACCUUACACUCUAACUAAGUUUUGUGUGUUCUGUAUGCUU
Molecule: RNA transcript, 5184 nt
Organism: Erinaceus europaeus (western European hedgehog)
Lineage: Eukaryota; Metazoa; Chordata; Mammalia; Eulipotyphla; Erinaceidae
Gene: AGTPBP1
Gene name: ATP/GTP binding carboxypeptidase 1
Exons: 27
Source: RefSeq, a predicted model, not a curated record